Non-coding RNA from Triticum aestivum (bread wheat), 135 nucleotides. The record is from Rfam. NCBI's taxonomy places the organism in Eukaryota, Viridiplantae, Streptophyta, Magnoliopsida, Poales, Poaceae.
GUAGUAUUCCCUCCAUCCCAAAAUUCUUGUCUUACAUUUGUUUAGAUACGGAUGUAUCUAACACUAAAAUGUUACUAGAUACAUCCAUAUUUUUACAAAUUUCAGCCAAGAAUUUUCGGACGGAGGGAGUACAAA